CUAAAUCGGACCGGUAGCUGCUUCACGAUUUUGCGCUACUCCGGCGACCGUGGGAUUAUCUCCGGCGAACUUCUGUCGACUUACAACAUCGGCGAUCUGCAUUCACGGAGUGUCUGCUAGAUUCUAAGAACAAUUCAAUAUGGGGGCUUCUGAAGAGAACAGCGCACUUUUCCCCAUCUUUGUCUUGACUUUAAUGGCUUUGCCAUUAGUACCUUAUACUAUAGUCAAUUUAUUUGGUGCUUUCAAGAAAAAGGCUGCCAAAAUCAACUGCCAGUGUUCGGUCUGCGUUCGGUCGGGGAAGUAUCACAAAUCAAUAUUCAGGCGGAUUUCAAACUUCUCAACAUACAGUAAUCUGACCCUUGUACUUCUGUGGGUCGUCAUGGCUGUUCUAGUUUAUUACAUCAAGCAUAUCAGCACUGAGGUCCAAAUAUUCGAGCCAUUCAGUAUCCUUGGACUGGAACAUGGAGCUUCUGACUCUGAAAUAAAGAAGGCGUAUCGGAGACUUUCCAUUCAGUAUCAUCCCGAUAAAAAUCCAGAUCCAGAGGCACACUCAUACUUUGUUGAGUUCAUCUCAAAGGCUUAUCAGGCUCUAACGGAUCCGAUAUCUAGGGAAAAUUUUGAAAAAUAUGGCCAUCCCGAUGGACGGCAGGGGCUUCAAAUGGGCAUUGCCCUCCCGCAGUUCCUUCUCAACAUUGAUGGAGCAUCUGAAGGAAUACUGUUGCUUGGAAUUGUUGGAGUCUGUAUAAUUCUGCCCUUGACAGUUUCUGUUAUAUACUUGUCUAGGUCAUCAAAAUAUACUGGAAACUACGUCAUGCACUCGACAUUAGCAGCAUAUUACCACUUAAUGAAACCUUCUUUAGCCCCAAGCAAGGUCAUGGAUGUUUUCAUUAAGGCUUCUGAAUUCAUGGAUAUUCCUGUUCGUCGGUCUGACGAAGAACCUCUGCAGAGACUGUUUGUCCUGGUUAGAAGUGAGCUAAAUCUGGAUCUUAAGAAUAUUCGCCAAGAACAGGCUAAAUUUUGGAAGCAGCAUCCUGCUUUAGUAAAGACUGAAUUGUUGCUACAAACACAAUUGACACGUGAGACGGCAGCCUUGUCUCCAACUUUACAGCGUGAUUUCAGACGUGUGCUUGAACUUGCACCUCGGCUUCUGGAAGAAUUGAUGAAGAUGGCUAUUAUUCCACGUCCUCCAGUGGGGCAUGGAUGGCUAAGACCUGCAAUAGGAGUGGUGGAACUGUCUCAGAGUAUUGUUCAAGCAGUACCUCUCAGCGCAAGGAAAGCAGCAGGUGGAUCCAGUGAAGGGUAUGCACCAUUUUUGCAGCUGCCACACUUUAGCGAGGCUGUCGUUAAAAAGAUAGCAAGAAAGAAAGUUCGUACAUUUCAAGACUUCCGUGACAUGACACCGGAUGAACGUGCUGAUCUGCUGACUCAAGUUGCUGGGUUCUCCAAUGGUGAAUCCCACGAUGUGGAGAUGGUUCUUGAAAUGAUGCCUUCAGUGACAAUUGAUAUCACAUGUGAGACUGAAGGUGAGGAGGGAAUUCAAGAGGGUGACAUCGUUACCAUGCAUGCUUGGGUCACUCUUAACCGUGGUAGUGGCUUGAUACGCGCCCUUCCACAUUGUCCAUAUUUUCCUUUUGACAAAGAGGAGAAUUUCUGGCUGAUGCUUGCGGACUCCUUUUCGAAUGAUGUGUGGCUCUCUCAGAAGGUUAGUUUCAUGGAUGAAGCUACAUCGAUAAUUGCUGUAUCAAAAACAAUUCAGGAGUCAAAGGAAGGGUCUGGUGCAAGUGCAAGGGAAAUAAAUGUUGCUGUUAAAGAAGCAAUUGAGAAAGUGAAAAAUGGUUCAAGACUGGUAAUGGGGAAGUUCCAAGCUCCAGCUGAAGGGAACUACAACUUGAGCUCUUACUGCUUAUGUGACUCUUGGAUUGGUUGUGAUGCAAAGUCAAAUAUAAAGUUAAAGGUUAUGAAACGUAGCAGAGCUGGAACCAGAGGUGGUUUCGCAGCAGAUGAGACUCCUGCCAUGGAGGAUGGAAUUGAGGAGGACGAGGAAGAAGAAGAAGAGGAUUUCGAUGAUUAUGAAAGUGAAUACAGCGAAGAUGAAGAAGAUACCAAGGAAACAAAGAGUAAAGGAGCUGUGGCCAAUGGCUCUGCCCAUAACAAGGGCAACAGUUCAGGUUCUGAUGAAUCUGGUUCAGAAGCCGACUAACUUCCUUUCUUGGCUAGUUUUUGUUCUCCUAAUUUCCCCGUUGACAUGAUAUUCCAAUUCUCCGGGGAGAAGACAAGACGAAACCAGUGAGAAAACAUCCUCUCACUCCAAACGUUUGGGGAACUGGGGUCGUGGAGAGGCAGGUAAGAAGAAGAGUAUUUAAUAGUGUUUUUUCCUCCUUUACAUACUUUGGACCGUCUUUCUUCCGUUGAUAUACUUAGAACAGUUAGUACUGUAAUUUGACAUGAAUAAUAGCAUUGUACUCUUUAUAGAGCUUAUAUUAGUCCUUUUUGGUCCGACA
RNAcentral lists this unclassified non-coding RNA (2501 nucleotides) under Hevea brasiliensis (rubber tree). The record is from RNAcentral. Lineage: Eukaryota; Viridiplantae; Streptophyta; Magnoliopsida; Malpighiales; Euphorbiaceae.